This 167-nucleotide ribosomal RNA is filed under the name uncultured Enterobacteriaceae bacterium. RNAcentral describes it as "partial 16S ribosomal RNA". It matches the Rfam family "Bacterial small subunit ribosomal RNA", at positions 366 to 525 of the family's 1533-position model. Lineage: Bacteria; Pseudomonadati; Pseudomonadota; Gammaproteobacteria; Enterobacterales; Enterobacteriaceae. The record is from RNAcentral.
GCGGCAUGGGGCGCAGCCUGAUGCAGCCAUGCCGCGUGUAUGAAGAAGGCCUUCGGGUUGUAAAGUACUUUCAGCGGGGAGGAAGGGAGUAAAGUUAAUACCUUUGCUCAUUGACGUUACCCGCAGAAGAAGCACCGGCUAACUCCGUGCCAGCAGCCGCGGUAAUA